RNAcentral lists this ribosomal RNA (406 nucleotides) under uncultured bacterium. Its description in RNAcentral is "partial 16S ribosomal RNA". It matches the Rfam family "Bacterial small subunit ribosomal RNA", at positions 30 to 526 of the family's 1533-position model. The record is from RNAcentral.
AUUGAACGCUGGCGGCAGGCCUAACACAUGCAAGUCGAACGAGUGGCGGACGGGUGAGUAAUGUCUGGGAAACUGCCUGAUGGAGGGGGAUAACUACUGGAAACGGUAGCUAAUACCGCAUACCAUCGGAUGUGCCCAGAUGGGAUUAGCUAAUAGGUGGGGUAAAGGCUCACCUAGGCGACGAGCCCUAGCUGGUCUGAGAGGAUGACCAGCCACACUGGAACGGAGAAACGGUCCAGACUCCUAAGGGAGGCAGAAGUGGGGAAUAUGGCACAAUGGGCGAAAGCCUGAUGCAGCCAUGCCGCGUGUAUGAAGAAGGCCUUCGGGUUGUAAAGUACUUUCAGCGGGGAGGCGUUACCCGCAGAAGAAGCACCGGCUAACUCCGUGCCAGCAGCCGCGGUAAUUC